Molecule: ribosomal RNA, 878 nt
Filed under: Paraphaeosphaeria sporulosa
Lineage: Eukaryota; Fungi; Ascomycota; Dothideomycetes; Pleosporales; Didymosphaeriaceae
Description: eukaryotic LSU rRNA
Rfam family: Eukaryotic large subunit ribosomal RNA
Source: RNAcentral
GCAUAUCAAUAAGCGGAGGAAAAGAAACCAACAGGGAUUGCCCUAGUAACGGCGAGUGAAGCGGCAACAGCUCAAAUUUGAAAUCUGGCUCUCUUUGGGGGUCCGAGUUGUAAUUUGCAGAGGAUGCUUUGGCAUUGGCGGCGGUCUAAGUUCCUUGGAACAAGACAUCACAGAGGGUGAGAAUCCCGUACGUGGUCGCCUGCCUUUGCCGUGUAAAGCUCCUUCGACGAGUCGAGUUGUUUGGGAAUGCAGCUCUAAAUGGGAGGUAAAUUUCUUCUAAAGCUAAAUACUGGCCAGAGACCGAUAGCGCACAAGUAGAGUGAUCGAAAGAUGAAAAGUACUUUGGAAAGAGAGUCAAAAAGCACGUGAAAUUGUUGAAAGGGAAGCGCUUGCAGCCAGACUUGCCCGCAGUUGCUCACCUAGGCUUUGGCCUGGGGCACUCUUCUGCGGGCAGGCCAGCAUCAGUUUGGGCGGUUGGAUAAAGGCCUCUGUCACGUAUCUCCCUUCGGGGUGACCUUAUAGGGGAGGCGCAAUGCAACCAGCCCGGACUGAGGUCCGCGCAUCUGCUAGGAUGCUGGCGUAAUGGCUGUAAGCGGCCCGUCUUGAAACACGGACCAAGGAGUCUAACAUCUAUGCGAGUGUUUGGGUGUCAAGCCCGAGCGCGCAAUGAAAGUGAACGGAGGUGGGAACCCUUUGGGUGCACCAUCGACCGAUCCUGAUGUCUUCGGAUGGAUUUGAGUAAGAGCAUAGCUGUUGGGACCCGAAAGAUGGUGAACUAUGCUUGAAUAGGGUGAAGCCAGAGGAAACUCUGGUGGAGGCUCGCAGCGGUUCUGACGUGCAAAUCGAUCGUCAAAUUUGGGCAUAGGGGCGAAAGACUA